AUUGAACGCUGGCGGCAGGCCUAACACAUGCACGUCGAACGAGUGGCGGACGGGUGAGUAAUGUCUGGGAAACUGCCCGAUGGAAGGGGAUAACUACUGGAAACGGUAGCUAAUACCGCCUACCAUCGUAUGUGCCCCAAGGGGAUUAGCUUGUAGGUGCGGUAACGGCUCACCUAGGCUACUAUCCCUAGCUGGUCUGAGAGGUGGACCAGCCACACUGGAACUGCGAUACGGUCCAGACUCGUACGGGAGUCAGCAGUGGGGAAUAUUGCACAAUGGGCGCAAGCCUGCUGCAGCCAUGCCGCGUGUAUGAAGAAGGCCUUCGGGUUGUAAAGUACGUUCAGCGGGGCGGCGUUACCCGCAGAAGAAGCACCGGCUAACUCCGUGCCAGCAGCCGCGGUAAUUC
RNAcentral lists this ribosomal RNA (406 nucleotides) under uncultured bacterium. RNAcentral describes it as "partial 16S ribosomal RNA". It matches the Rfam family "Bacterial small subunit ribosomal RNA", at positions 30 to 526 of the family's 1533-position model. The record is from RNAcentral.